Long non-coding RNA from Mus musculus (house mouse), 2784 nucleotides. RefSeq annotates it as predicted gene 16099. Lineage: Eukaryota; Metazoa; Chordata; Mammalia; Rodentia; Muridae. The transcript is spliced from 2 exons. The record is from RefSeq and is a predicted model, not a curated record.
CCCGCCCGCCCCGCCCGCCCCGCCUGCCAGGACCCGGGCCCGGGCAGCUGCAGCCCCAGGUCACCGCCAAGCCCGCCCUGGGUGUCCAUCAGCAACCGGGGGCAUGCAGAGCUCUGGGCAUCGUGACACCCACACCCACGCAUACCACGUGGCUACCUGUACCUUAGGGAACGCGGCUUGGAGGGCCAAUCGAUUCCUUGGCAGCUAUGGGAUCCAUCCUGAGCGUGGCAGAGGCCCAGCCUGACAUGUCGACUUCGCAUCCCAACACUGGAGGCAGAGCAGGAGGACCAGGAGGUCAAGGUCAGCCUCUACAUAGUUUCUGGAAAAUGUGAGACCCUGCCUCAAACAAACAAAAAGAGGAAAAGAGAAAAAGACCCCCGAUGUUCAUCUGGUAUGUGGUCUAGGGAAGCCAUCUUGCCAAGCCUGCUGUCGCCCUGGCUCCACCCACACACUGCAAGGAAAACAGAACAAAAGUUUACUUUGUAUCAUUAAAUAUUGGGGCCAGUGAGAGCGCUCAGAAGGUAGAGGUGCUUUCUUCCAAGCCUGACAGCCUGGGUGGCUCCCUGAGACCCACGUGGUGAACAGAGAGACCCAGCUGAGAGACCCAGCUCUAACUAAUUGUCCUCUGAUUUCCACACACACAGAAACUGAUAAAGAAAAUGUCACUUAAAUUUUGUUUUAAUUUUUAGAUUUAUUUGUAUUUUCUGUGUAUGAAUGCUUUGCCUGCAUACCUGAUGCCCUCAGACAUCCAAAGAGGGCAUCGGGUCCCCUGGAGCUGGAGUCACAAACAAUUGAGAGCCAACAUGCAGGUGCUGGGAAUCGAACCUGGGUCCUCUGGAACAGUUGUUAAUUAAUGAGCCAGCUCUCUGAAGACUGAUUUUAAAGUAUCUUUGUUUGUGGUAGGGGCUUGCUCUGUAGACCAGGCUGGCCUCUUGCCUCUUCCACUUAGGCCAGCUAAAGGCCAUCCUCUUCCCUCUCCUGGUCCCCCAGGCUCACCCACUCCUUCCCUGAUCAGUUCUUUUGUUUUGUUUUGUUUUGUUUUUCGAGACAGGGUUUCUCUGUGUAGCCUUGGCUGUCCUGGAACUCACUUUGUAGACCAGGCUGGCCUUGAACUCAGAAAUCUGCCUGCCUCUGCCUCCCAAGUGCUGGGACUAAAGGCGUGCGCCACCACCGCCCGGCUCCCUGCUCAGUUCUAACAUGGCCCCUUCUCCUGGCGUUACAGCACAGCAUGCCAACUUGGAGUCAGGAUCUCCAUGGCUGGCCUAGCUCUUUCUUUGCUAUUUGUGCCCAUUCAUCCUAGGCUGCCUCAAGCUGUUGCCUGAUGAAUUUACCUCCUUCUUAGUCUGGCCCUGUGGGAGUCCUUCAGAAGGUGGCUCAGUCCCCCUACCCUGCCUCAAGAUGGAGUCAGUCUAGUGGGAAGCCAGAGCUCUAUUCUGGAAGACCCUGUCCUAAAAAAGUGCCCCAGGCUACAGCUUUACCUCACUCCCCCGAGUAGCUGGAAAGAAACCCAUAAUGAGGCCCUAUUUCUUGAGUACUGAGAAUUGGGAUGGGAGUUUGGGGCUAGCAGGCAGGCUUCCUUUGUCUGUGAUGGGUGCCUGGGUCCCCUGAGAGACUGGGGGAGCUCUCAGCACAGCUCUGACCAGCUCCCUGGCUUUCCUUCAGGCACCAGCCCAGGCUGACUCACUGGAAGGAGCCUGGCCACAUGCUGAUGCUAUUUAUAGAUGCCAGGCCAGGCUCUAGGCAUCAGGAGCCACUGAAGACAACCUUAGUUCCUGUCUCCCUCUUGCAGUAGCGCCUGUGUGGGGACACUGUACUCUGCCCUGCCUUGCUGAACUGGGCAAAUCCGCAGGAACUGGGACUCAGGGACUUGAGACGAGUCAGCCUGCACUGCAUUCUGAAGCGCUAGUCUGUCUGUCAUGUCCCACACACCCAUUGCCUCUUUUAAAAGCCAUGCCUUGUCCCCAGCAGCAGAGGUGGAUGAGGAAAGGCCUUUAAGAGGGUGGAUCAGCCUGUAAAGUACGUACUUGCAAACACACAGAGUAUGGAUUCUCAGAACCCACACCCAAAGCUAGCGGGGUGGCUCAAUCCUGCUGUGGUAGCAUGGGGAGGGGCUGAGACAGGAGGAUUCCUGCUGACCCAGUGGUCUAGAUAAAUCUUCCACUCCAUGAUACUGACACUGUGUCUUAAAAACCAAGGUGAGGCUUGGGGUUGGUUCAGCAGUUACAACACUGCCUGCUUUUGCAGAGGACACAAGGUUUUUUGUUUUUUUGGGUUUUUUUGUUUUUUGUUUUUCGAGACAGGGUUUCUCUGUAUAGCCUUGGCUGUCCUGGAACUCACUCUGUAGACCAGGUUGGCCUCGAACUCAGAAAUCCGCCUGCCACUGCCUCCCGAGUGCUGGGAUUAAAGGUGAGGACACAGGUUUAAUUCCCAGCCCCCACUUGGUGGCUCACAAACUAUCUGUAACUCCAGUUCCAGAGGAUCUGAUGCCCUCUUCUGGCUUCCACAGGCACUGUGUGCAUACACACACACACACACACACACACACACACACACACACACACACACACACCAGCCAAACAAAGAAACCCCCAUGGGCUGGCACUCUGGAGCCCAGUAUUUUGUUGUUUGUUAGUUUGAGAUAGCAUGUCACCAUACAGCCCUCAGCAGCCUGGCCUCUGUGGAGAUCAGAUAUGAUGCUGUCUUCUGGUCUCCUAGAGAACUAGAGACCCAUGUGGUGCAAAACAUCCAUUCAAAAAAAACAAAUAAAUAAAUAGUUUAAAUCUU